Molecule: ribosomal RNA, 207 nt
Filed under: uncultured Syntrophaceae bacterium
Lineage: Bacteria; Pseudomonadati; Thermodesulfobacteriota; Syntrophia; Syntrophales; Syntrophaceae
Description: partial 16S ribosomal RNA
Rfam family: Bacterial small subunit ribosomal RNA
Source: RNAcentral
CGUGUAGGCGGCUUGACAAGUCAGAUGUGAAAUCCCUGGGCUUAACCCAGGAAGUGCAUUUGAAACUGUUUGGCUGGAGUAAGGGAGAGGAAAGUGGAAUUCCUGGUGUAGAGGUGAAAUUCGUAGAUAUCAGGAGGAACACCGGUGGCGAAGGCGACUUUCUGGCCCUAUACUGACGCUGAGACGCGAAAGCGUGGGUAGCAAACA